AGGAGUACAACCUGUCUCAAGGAUGCCGUCGCCAAUGUAGAAUCGUCCAUGCUUCUUACCUUGCCCAAUCCUCAUCACUAGCUCAGGAUCAAGGCGCUCCUCAGUCCUCGGAUCGUAGUCCGACCCAUGGACUAACCUCGAUGCCUCUGUGUACGAAUUGAGAUGGGUGUAGACGCUAGAGUUGGUGUACACCUCUGGGCCUGCAUCAGGGUUGUACUCGAUGUUGGACUUUGCCGGGCCCAUGUGGGCCAGAGCAUACGCCGUGAGUUGGC
This 272-nucleotide long non-coding RNA is filed under the name Sorghum bicolor (sorghum). Its description in RNAcentral is "long non-coding RNA (SBIC_LNC003524)". Lineage: Eukaryota; Viridiplantae; Streptophyta; Magnoliopsida; Poales; Poaceae. The record is from RNAcentral.